AAGUUCCCCAUUACUAAGGUACCAAGACACGUUUUACCAUUUCACGUUUUAUCGCAUAGAUACCAGGAGUAUAUUACUUAGGUACCGGGAUAUCUUCUAUGUAAGUGGCCUUUGCAAGUGUUUACCAGAUAGGUACCAGUGUUUGUGAUUAGGAGACCGACCAAAACAUCUCCAACGCCAAGAUUUAAAGGCGGCACUGAACCAGAUAUCAUGGAUACAAGAGCGCUGAAGACCAUUAUCGUCGUUUUGGUGCCAGUGCUUGCAGUAGCAGGACAACCUCUGCCAAGCCAGUACGGGAGGAAGUUCGUCGUCAUCUUCACAAAAGGUCUCAACCAAGACGGAGCAGCCCUCAAGCUG
Molecule: long non-coding RNA, 357 nt
Organism: Haliotis rubra (blacklip abalone)
Lineage: Eukaryota; Metazoa; Mollusca; Gastropoda; Lepetellida; Haliotidae
Exons: 3
Source: RefSeq, a predicted model, not a curated record